Long non-coding RNA from Saccostrea cuccullata (small rock oyster), 298 nucleotides. RefSeq lists it as uncharacterized. The record is from RefSeq and is a predicted model, not a curated record. The transcript is spliced from 3 exons. Lineage: Eukaryota; Metazoa; Mollusca; Bivalvia; Ostreida; Ostreidae.
GUAUGGCUACAACCAUGUCCUUCUAUAGUUACAGGCUUGUUGUCCUUGUCAAGUGACUGCUUAUUGACAGAUGUCAUUGUACCUCUAAUGUAAUACGGGUUUCAGCAGAGCCACAAAUCCAACACUUAUAUCUGAAUGUAUCGGAAUUUAAUGGAGACAGUGUUGUUACUAUGCAUGGAAGAUUUCAGUGUCCUCCUGAUACGACAGCAGAAUUUGAAGGGAAAAUCAUCAGCUUUGACAAAGUUUCGGACUCAAACGAUGGUUCAUCAAACUUUGAAAUGUUUCUCUUUGAUGACAG